Long non-coding RNA from Engraulis encrasicolus (European anchovy), 1447 nucleotides. RefSeq lists it as uncharacterized. The record is from RefSeq and is a predicted model, not a curated record. NCBI's taxonomy places the organism in Eukaryota, Metazoa, Chordata, Actinopteri, Clupeiformes, Engraulidae. The transcript is spliced from 4 exons.
AAAUCUGUGUUUCUAUUUUCGUUAUCUAAUGCCGGCCAGUUAAUUAUACGUCAGCUUGUACACCUAAAUUCGGCCAAUCAUAUCACGUCAAUCAUUUUUUUUGGGUCAUAGCAUCUUGAUUCAUAUGUCGCAGCUUAUAUACGCAACGGUUAAUAAUUCACCCGGAACCUUCUAAAGACGUCGAGGGGUACACUUCAGGACCAGCCGUACACUCGGCUACACACCCAGCUGUAAUGGAGCCUCUCUGUUGUGUGCCCAAAUCUCAAAGAGAAAAAAAAUCCUACUGUGGACACUGGACAGACUUUCCACCGUUUCCUCAAAGGGCAGGCACUUCGGCGUGAAUGGAUAAAUCAUCCAGAGGGAAUCUGGUCCAUAUUUCAAGAUCAACGCUGAGACCAAGGUUUGCUCUGAACACUUUGAGAAGCAGUGCUUUGUGAAGACCGCCUGUGGAAUCACAAAGCUUAUAAAGCAUGCUGUGCCAACCUUGUUCGUCUGGACUUCAGAGAGGCCAAAGAUGAGAAUCAUCAUUCGUAGACCGAGUAUGGAUUCCAUGGAGGUGGAUGAAAACCAGCCUGAUGAGAGAAGGGAUGCCUUGAGCAGAGGUACCUCCUCUACACCCGUACCAUGAUUAUGCUGUUCCACCACCAGAGGCCAGAGACACCAGAGGAACAACUUGAGGCGGCUCGCAAGCACAUCAUUGAGCAAGACAAGUUAAUAGCACAACUUAAAGAUAAAAGUGUUCAGUGUGUCGGGAUUCCAGUGUGAUGAUGGUCAGAUGUCAUUUUACACAGGAUUCCCAGACUAUGCCACCUUUAAAGCUGUAUAUAUGGCUCUACAGCCCACAGCCACAGGCAUGGUUGGAUGGAGUCAGGCUCAAAGGCUUACACAAACAGAGGUACAGGUCAUCAGAAAGGCAUUUAAUAUCCCUAAACUAGCAAUUAUGGACCAGUUCUUUCUCUUCCUCUGUCGUCUCAGACAAGGUUUUGCUGAGCAGUGCACUUUGGUGUGUCACAGUCAACUGUGAGCAGAAUCUGUGUCACCUGGGCUAACUAUCUAUACUUCAUGUUAGGAGUAGAUUAAUGUAUGCCUACUUGUUUUCAAAACACUUACCCAGACACCAGAGUCAUUCUAGACUGUACAGAAAUAUAUGUGCAAACGCCUAGUUUGUAGGUACUUGACUCCGAAAUCUAUUCCCAUUACAAGGACAACCCAACUUUCAAAGGCCUGAUUGGAAUUGCCCCGUCUGGUGAGGUGUCAUUCGUUAGUGACCUGUACACAGGCUCCAUAUCCGAGAAGGAGAUUACAGAAUUGUCCGGCAUCCUAGCAAUGCUUGAAGAAGGCGAUUUAAGUCAUGGCAGACAAAGGGUUUCUAAUUAAGGAAAUGCUAUCAAAAUUAAAUGUCUCCCUUGUGACUCCACCCUUUUUAGGCCCAAGUGGCACUUUCAGU